UACGUAGGGUGCGAGCGUUAAUCGGAAUUACUGGGCGUAAAGCGUGCGCAGGCGGUUCGUUGUGUCGGCGGUGAAAGCCCCGGGCUUAACCUGGGAAUGGCCGUUGAAACUGGCGAACUGGAGUGUGGCAGAGGGGGGUGGAAUUCCCGGUGUAGCGGUGAAAUGCGUAGAGAUCGGGAGGAACAUCAGUGGCGAAGGCGGCCAUCUGGGACAACACUGACGCUGAAGCACGAAAGCGUGGGGAGCAAACAGG
RNAcentral lists this ribosomal RNA (253 nucleotides) under uncultured bacterium. Its description in RNAcentral is "partial 16S ribosomal RNA". It matches the Rfam family "Bacterial small subunit ribosomal RNA", at positions 524 to 776 of the family's 1533-position model. The record is from RNAcentral.